UAGGGAAUCUUCCGCAAUGGACGAAAGUCUGACGGAGCAACGCCGCGUGAGCGAAGAAGGCCUUCGGGUCGUAAAGCUCUGUUGUUAGGGAAGAACAAGUAUCGGAGUAACUGCCGGUACCUUGACGGUACCUAACCAGAAAGCCACGGCUAACUACGUGCCAGCAGCCGCGGUAAUACGUAGGUGGCAAGCGUUGUCCGGAAUUAUUGGGCGUAAAGCGCGCGCAGGCGGUCCUUUAAGUCUGAUGUGAAAGCCCGCGGCUCAACCGUGGAGGGUCAUUGGAAACUGGGGGACUUGAGUGCAGAAGAGGAGAGUGGAAUUCCACGUGUAGCGGUGAAAUGCGUAGAGAUGUGGAGGAACACCAGUGGCGAAGGCGACUCUCUGGUCUGUAACUGACGCUGAGGCGCGAAAGCGUGGGGAGCAAACAGGAUUAGAUACCCUGGUAGUCCACGCCGUAAACGAUGAGUGCUAAGUGUUAGAGGGUUUCCGCCCUUUAG
RNAcentral lists this ribosomal RNA (497 nucleotides) under uncultured Bacillota bacterium. RNAcentral describes it as "bacterial SSU rRNA". It matches the Rfam family "Bacterial small subunit ribosomal RNA", at positions 355 to 843 of the family's 1533-position model. Lineage: Bacteria; Bacillati; Bacillota. The record is from RNAcentral.